GAUCAUGGCUCAGGAUGAACGCUGGCGGCGUGCCUAACACAUGCAAGUCGAACGGAGACGCCUUUGCGGAGGCUCGGCCAAAGCGGGGGCGUGCUUAGUGGCGGACGGGUGAGUAACGCGUGGAGAACCUGGCCCAUGCAGGGGGACAACGGAGGGAAACUUCCGCUAAUACCGCAUAUGCGCACGGAUGGGCAUCCAUCAGUGUGGAAAGCAAUUACGGCAUGGGAUGGCUCCGCGUCCGAUCAGCUAGUUGGCGGGGCAACGGCCCACCAAGGCGACGACCGGUAGCCGGCCUGAGAGGGCGGACGGCCACAUUGGGACUGAGACACGGCCCAGACUCCUGCGGGAGGCAGCAGUGGGGGAUAUUGCACAAUGGGGGGAACCCUGAUGCAGCGACGCCGCGUGGGCGAGGGAGCGCUUCGGCGCGUAAAGCCCUUUCGGCAGGGAAGAGGAAGGACGGUACCUGAAGAAGAAGCCCCGGCUAACUACGUGCCAGCCGCUGC
RNAcentral lists this ribosomal RNA (503 nucleotides) under uncultured bacterium. RNAcentral's name for it is "bacterial SSU rRNA". It matches the Rfam family "Bacterial small subunit ribosomal RNA", at positions 15 to 518 of the family's 1533-position model. The record is from RNAcentral.